This 33-nucleotide transfer RNA is filed under the name Maudiozyma exigua. Its description in RNAcentral is "Kazachstania exigua partial transfer RNA". The record is from RNAcentral. Lineage: Eukaryota; Fungi; Ascomycota; Saccharomycetes; Saccharomycetales; Saccharomycetaceae.
UCGANGUGGGGAUUGAACCACGACGGUCGCGUU